This 256-nucleotide ribosomal RNA is filed under the name uncultured bacterium. Its description in RNAcentral is "partial 16S ribosomal RNA". It matches the Rfam family "Bacterial small subunit ribosomal RNA", at positions 524 to 776 of the family's 1533-position model. The record is from RNAcentral.
UACGUAGGGCGCAAGCGUUGUCCGGAAUUAUUGGGCGUAAAGGGUGCGUAGAUGGCCUGAUAAGUUAGCAGUGGGAAAUCGAGGCUCAACCUCGUGGAAGCUGGUAAUACUGUCAGGCUCGAGUGCAGGAGAGGUUAACGGAACUCCAUGUGGAGCGGUAAAAUGUGUAGAUAUAUGGAAGAACACCAAUAACGGCGAAGGCAGUUAACUAUUCUGUUACUGACAUUGAGGCACGAAAGCGUGGGGAGCAAAACGG